GCCUUGGUGGUGUAGCGAUAGAACACGCGAAUGGUAUGAAGCGCGGGUUCGAUUCCCGCCUGAGACC
Parelaphostrongylus tenuis is the source of this 67-nucleotide non-coding RNA. The record is from the annotation of a GenBank genome assembly. NCBI's taxonomy places the organism in Eukaryota, Metazoa, Nematoda, Chromadorea, Rhabditida, Metastrongylidae.